UCGGGGAUACCCUUUUGAAAAGGAAAGGAUUAAUUCCCCGUUAGUUUGGCAUUUCUCCCGGUUUUUGUAUUUAAGAAUUUUCGUUUUUGAGGGGAUGGGUUUCAAUAGUUUGUGGCGGGGUAACGGCCCACCAAGACUUCGAUGGAUAGGGGUUCUGAGAGGGAGGUCCCCCACAUUGGAACUGAGACACGGUCCAAACUCCUACGGGAGGCAGCAGUGAGGAAUAUUGGUCAAUGGACGNGAGUCUGAACCAGCCAAGUAGCGUGAAGGAUGAAGGCUCUAUGGGUCGUAAACUUCUUUUAUACGGGAAUAAAGUGAACCACGUGUGGUUUUUUGUAUGUACCGUAUGAAUAAGGAUCGGCUAACUCCGUGCCAGCAGCCGCGGUAAUACGGAGGAUCCGAGCGUUAUCCGGAUUUAUUGGGUUUAAAGGGAGCGUAGGCGGGUACUUAAGUCAGUUGUGAAAGUUUACGGCUCAACCGUGAAAUUGCAGUUGAUACUGGGUGCCUUGAGUGCAGUAGAAGUAAGCGGAAUUCGUGGUGUAGCGGUGAAAUGCUUAGAUAUCACGAAGAACUCCAAUUGCGAAGGCAGCUUGCUGGACUGUAACUGACGCUGAUGCUCGAAAGUGUGGGUAUCAAACAGGAUUAGAUACCCUGGUAGUCCACACAGUAAACUAUGAAUACUCGCUGUUGGCGAUACACAGUCAGCGGCCAAGCGAAAGCGU
This 722-nucleotide ribosomal RNA is filed under the name uncultured bacterium. RNAcentral describes it as "bacterial SSU rRNA". It matches the Rfam family "Bacterial small subunit ribosomal RNA", at positions 137 to 860 of the family's 1533-position model. The record is from RNAcentral.